GAUGAACGCUGGCGGCGUGCCUAAUACAUGCAAGUCGAGCGAACAGACGAGGAGCUUGCUCCUCUGACGUUAGCGGCGGACGGGUGAGUAACACGUGGAUAACCUACCUAUAAGACUGGGAUAACUUUGGGAAACCGGAGCUAAUACCGGAUAAUAUAUUGAACCGCAUGGUUCAAUAGUGAAAGACGGUUUUGCUGUCACUUAUAGAUGGAUCCGCGCCGCAUUAGCUAGUUGGUAAGGUAACGGCUUACCAAGGCGACGAUGCGUAGCCGACCUGAGAGGGUGAUCGGCCACACUGGAACUGAGACACGGUCCAGACUCCUACGGGAGGCAGCAGUAGGGAAUCUUCCGCAAUGGGCGAAAGCCUGACGGAGCAACGCCGCGUGAGUGAUGAAGGUCUUCGGAUCGUAAAACUCUGUUAUUAGGGGAGAACAAAUGUGUAAGUAACUAUGCACGUCUUGACGGUACCUAAUCAGAAAGCCACGGCUAACUACGUG
Molecule: ribosomal RNA, 497 nt
Filed under: uncultured bacterium
Lineage: Bacteria
Description: partial 16S ribosomal RNA
Rfam family: Bacterial small subunit ribosomal RNA
Source: RNAcentral